AACGAACGCUGGCGGCAGGCUUAACACAUGCAAGUCGAACGGUUGUAGCAAUACAGCAGUGGCAGACGGGUGAGUAACACGUGGGAACCUUCCUAGGGGUACGGAACAACUCAGGGAAACUUGAGCUAAUACCGUAUACGUCCGUGAGGAGAAAGUUUUAACGCCCCUAGACGGGCCCGCGUAGGAUUAGGUAGUUGGUGAGGUAACGGCUCACCAAGCCUACGAUCCUUAGCUGAUCUGAGAGGAUGAUCAGCCACACUGGGACUGAGACACGGCCCAGACUCCUACGGGAGGCAGCAGUGGGGAAUCUUGGACAAUGGGCGCAAGCCUGAUCCAGCCAUGCCGCGUGAGUGAAGAAGGCCUUCGGUUGUAAGUAC
Molecule: ribosomal RNA, 377 nt
Filed under: uncultured bacterium
Lineage: Bacteria
Description: bacterial SSU rRNA
Rfam family: Bacterial small subunit ribosomal RNA
Source: RNAcentral